Long non-coding RNA from Pomacea canaliculata, 6388 nucleotides. RefSeq lists it as uncharacterized. The record is from RefSeq and is a predicted model, not a curated record. Lineage: Eukaryota; Metazoa; Mollusca; Gastropoda; Architaenioglossa; Ampullariidae. The transcript is spliced from 6 exons.
CUAAUUUGUGUUGAGCAAUCUGAGAACUGACUUUUUAGUGUCUGUGCAUUCAGACUGUAAAAUACACCAGCAAGAAAGAGUGGAAACAGCAGAGUCGAAGACCCUACAUUAUAUUUAGAACAUGAAACAGAAGCCGAACAGUGACGACACUGCCAAUGGAUUCCUCUGCCAAAUAAAUCCAAAACCUGCUGCCGCAGACAAACCACAACAACCAGGCCCAAGAAAAUACACGUGACUGACGCGGUUGUUGCUGCUGUUGCUGUAUCAUCAUAGAGGUUAUCUAGAAAUAAGUAUCAUAAUUUUUAUAAGUAAACACUGUUUAUUUUACAUGAAUAAAAAGUCGUAUUUUAUUUUGUUGUUAGAAUAUAAUCGCAUGUUAAUCAAUUACCAACACUUUUGUACAAAUUUUAGUACGCAACUUCAUUUAAAUAUCAUGGUGAUGGCAAUAGCCAAUGUAAAAACUGUAGUGGCAGUUCUAGACUAAUACAUAUUGUGGUUGUUAGAGUUGUCAUAGUAAAGCAAAUAAUAAACUAUACCUGUUCUUAGACGGGAUAUGAAGGCCUAAGUGAAAAAUGCUUCUAAAGGUCUACUACCUAUUGUCUAUCAAAAUGUUUCCGUAUUAUCUGUGAUUUAUGUGAUGGUAAACCUUCAUUAACGAACCUCUUGUCCAGACAAUAGACACCCAGACGUUUCCCUGAAACGACCUUUAUGUCUUCAAAUUAAGCGACAUUCUAUCAGGUAAAAACUACUCACUUUUUGCAAGGCACCAUGAUCAAAGGAUCUGACAAUUUUAAGAAAAAUCCUCAGAAGUUUUUGUUUGUAAAAACACAUGUAGAAAAGCCUGCUUCUUUACUUAUUUAAUGACUUACCUUUUCUUACAUCAAUAAAGAUGUCUCUUUGUUCUUCUGAUCCUCUAUGCCGCCAUCUCCAGGUGUAUAAUCUGCUGUCGGAACUAGUGGCCUUCUUUAAGAACUGAACUGUGCGGUUAUUUAAACAUCGACAGUUUGAUGUAGCAGUCGAGGAGUCUGAUGGUUCACAGAUUGUCCUGAUUGUAAAUUUACAAAGGUCCACAGUUUUAUUUCUAACUUGAUAUGUUAGUUUGACCUGUAGAACAUUUUGGUCGCUUAUGUUACACUGAGAGGCCUCCAGUUGAUAAGCUGUUAAGUUGAUGAAGUUGUCCUCUUCAAUUUCGAUCCAAUCUAGACCGUCAAACACUAACUCCUUACCUGUGUGGACAACACCAAUGAUUUUUACCAUCAUAUUUUAAUUAUUUUCUGAUUUUUCCUUUGUUUUUUUCUGUUUAUAGCCUCAAUUAUGAACGAUUUAGUAAUUUAUUGAGCUUUCAAAUCUAUCGAAGACAUGAAAAUUUAUAUUAAAAAAGUGGCUUGCAAGAACAAAACUUGAAAUGAUUGAAAUCAAUAUUUAAGAAAGCAAUGCAAAGGUUAACUGUUUCAAUUGUCCACUAAUGCGUAAAAGGUAGGUUUCAAUGACUGGAUAAUACUUAAUCUUUGUGAAAUGCUAAAUACUUAUGUCCGAUGAUUGCUAGUCUACUUACAGUUACAACACUUACAAUUCUCUGCAUCAUUACUUGCGGUGUUAAUAAUCCUCAAUAUGCUGAGAAAAAGCCAGCACCUCACACACCACACACUGCUAUCCAUGUCGCCAAUAGUUAGUCAGGUCUGAGGCAAACAAGUCCAAUGAUUGAUGAACUCAGAUGCAUGAACCAGUUCUUCGUCCUCUUCACAUUUAGAACCUAAAAUGGAUUUGAUCCUUCGCAGUCUAAUCCGACUACUUUCUAGUUUCAAUUACAUCAUGUCUUCCAGUUGUAAGAAGUCAGCUGCAUCCUUGUUUGUUUCGACACAAUAGCUGUAACUAAAAAGGGAUUUCGCAUCCGCCUGCACACAACAAAGGUUCAUUUAGUCUUUUGAUCGUUAUCUGUCCUGAAAUUAAGCUUUUAAUUAUAAGUUCUCUGGGUAGCUAUCAUGGGCCAUGGACAUCAAACAAAUUGAUUACAACUAUGUCUAUGUUAUGAAAAGAACAUGUUUGAUAAACCCAAGUGCUUUUUGCGAUGAAUGAAUGUUUUCGUAACAAUGAGCAUUAACCUCAAAGAAAUCUCAAUAAUCAUGCAUUGUGCUUCGUUGCUUUGAAUAUGAAAUAUUUGCAGUUUGUUCUUUGUUUGGCUUUUAGUCGAGGGAGACUAUCAGUGAGGAUGGAGAAUUACGCCCUUGUUUCUUGUUCUCGAUCCCAUGCGGAAAAAGUGAAGAUAAUUUACAUACAAAUAACAGGAAAACAACCCUAGUGUCUUAAGUGUGAAAGGAAAUAAAAAUUAGGAUUUUCAUGCUUUUGUAAAAUUUACACAGGAUAUGUGCAACAUGUCAUAUGAAAUUCAUAUCAUGUUUUAUGUAGUCGCUUGGCAAAAUGGUAAUGGGAUUGAAAUAAAGAUAGGAUCCGAAGCCGAUUUUUUUCUAAGAGAGAUGGUGAUUAAUGACAAUCAGCUUAGUAUGCUUGGACAAAGACGCAACUCGAGAAACAAAUACAAUACCAUAGCUGCAGCUGCAAUACUAAGGAUGGAAGAGAGGAAGAGAAAGAGAAACGGUGACAGAAAGGGGAGCUUAACUCGUGAAAGGUUGUCCCUGGGAUAAACAAUAGUGGCAUUGUAGUCGAGUCUAUUCAACACCAGACAGGUAUCCUGGAGACAGUCUACAAAGACAGCAAGAACAUAGUAUGACCAGCUUACAGCAGAGACAACUCCGAACUGGCAGCCACUCCAGUCUACGAAUCUUUAUACCUUCCUUAUAUAACUCUCAUAUUGUCUGUGACAUACCUGAUCACUCUUGGAUUAACUUCAUGCCUUUUCCCCAACAGAUUCCACAUUAUUUUAUAACAUGGAAGCAGAAGCCGACUGGUGACGACACUGGCUGCUGAUAUAAGAGAAACAUUUCACUACGAUGUUGGUGUUUCUGACUGUUUAAAGUUAUUGGCUAUUGUAACCUAAUGGUUGUAGUGUUAGUGAACUGACCUAACCCCUUCCAGUGUCUACAAGAUAAUGAUUUCAAGCAGAGUUAAAUGAAACAUUAAACCUUCCUGUCCUUCUUUUUCUUGUUCUUUUUUUUUAUAGAUUGCUUCGGCAGUGAUUGAGACUUUUUGAAGAGACUCUUCUUUGAAAGCAAUCGCAUCAAAUAACAAAAAAGUAAUUUACAAAAAAGUUCCAACAAAUUUAAUCUACACAAAUGCUCUGUGAAAGAUAAUGUUGAUAACUGUUUUCUUAAAUUACUAACCGACAACACUUUCAAGAAAUGAGAUAUCUUAUUAAUGUCUUGAGAUUUAAUUAGCUGCAAAAGCUUGUUUAAUUAAGCAUACUAUAUUUUUAUAUUUCUAUUACUUUUUACCAGGGAUGGAAAACAUCUGACCCACUAAGACAACCGCAGAUUUUCGUAAAUUUACAAGUUUUUCUUAAUAGUAAAAUAAAUUCUGGUUAAUCAGAGGAAAGCAGGCUCGUUUUGUACACAUUGGAAAAGUGUUAAGAGACAGCAAGGAAGCUAUGGUUUGACUAAAUAAAGCAGGCAACAUUUUAAUCCGAUAACUUCAAAUGUCCCACAAAUGAUGCUACAAACAUUAAAAUGACCAUUGGAGGAAAAUAGGUUCCUUAUCCCUACGAUAGACUGACAUCAUCGACAAAACCGCUUACUUUUGACUAUACAUGUAGAAAUUAUUUCGCUUCUCUUGUGGUAAAACGGAGAUGAGAUAUGUAAAGGAGCUAGGAAAGGAUUACUGUGUGUAAUUGGUUCUCUUAAAAAUAUCUUAAAACAAGGAGAAAAAUAAAGACAAUGACCAUAUUAAAGUAACUCACUAUCGACUUGGCGACGAAAAUAUAGAGGACAGAAGUCUUCUUCGACCUCUUACACACAAAAAACAAGAUUUCCCGGAAACUGAAAGGUCGUCAGGUUUUAAUAAUUGGGUUUAAGCCAGUCUGUACAAUUGUCACCUUACAAUUUAUAUAUUGUCACAGUACGCCUUAGUUUUUUAGUCUUGACUUUGUCGACUACUGGCAGAGGUUGGUUUCUGUGCGAAUAUGAUUGCUGAUUACAUGAGUACCGGAGGAUGGUCUACUGGUUGCUGGGUUUUGCUUGGCCUGUUGAGGAUUACUGACUCUUCCAAUAUGAACUGUAUCUCUCUGGAAUUCGAUGGCUUAAGGUCUUCAGACCAAUGGAUAGAAAUUAAAGAGAACAGCUAUAUCAAUCUCACGGCUAAUUUACAAUGGACGCCUGGUUGUGAGAGGAACAGCAAAGACAGAAUACAAUUGAAGAUCACGUAUCCAGAAGGUUCGUUUUCUAUAGACGUCUGUAAGUUAAUAUUAACAACAAACUGCGAUGAAUCCGAUACAUCGAAUGCUACAUCCGUGUGUCGGUGCUUAAACAAAAUUCUGUCCAGUUUUACAAAAAAUUCAGCAGAUUUGACAGCAGGAACUAUACCUGGACGUGGGUUAACCUCAGAAACACUUCAACUGAAAAACGGAAGGAAAUUUUCAUAUCUGUCAUAACCAUGUCCUCGGAGGAGCGCUCUAGCAUUCCAUGGAUAACUGCAUCCACAUGUGCCUUCGUCGGUGUCGUUGUUGUAGUUGCUGUUGGCUUCAUCUUAUGGAAGCGAAAGAUUGUAUUCUGUUGCCAGGAAUACUCUUCGAGUCCACCUGGUGUUGAUACUGAGUGUCGAGACAAUAAUGAGGAAACGAGACAGGUAGAUGGCUCGGUCUAUACUGACAUCAAAGACGUCCAAGAUGAUGACAUGAGUCAUCCACAUGACCCCAGCUACGUGUACAUCAAAGAAGAGAUGAACCACCCAGGUCAGAGAAAAUAUGCUUACAUCAGAAAACAAGACAAAAGUCGAGCACAUAACUCCACCUACCUACACCCCGUACAGGAGGGAAUAAUCCAGCAAGAAGACCUCACCUACGAUCACCUGCGUGCUCUUAGAUAAAUGGAUUACUUCUGUAUGCGACAGUAGCACCGGUGUGUAAUUUUUAAAUUUCUUUGUAAUCAUCUCUUUUGUCUUUAAUUGUAAUUCUCUUUCUGUUAUGACCAUCUGUGUUGUCUGCACAGUGUAACAUUCUUCUCGCUAAACCGAACGCAUGUUGUCACAAGAGACAGUCUCUUAUAGAUAUAUGGUGUGCAUGUAAAAUCAGACAUUGUCAUUUAGAUUAUUUUAGUUUAGUCAUUUGAGAAUGUGAUUCGUUUGAAUGCUCUUUAGAAAACUACGGCAGCAGGAAACAUUUAAAUAAGUAGUACUACAUUUGUGACUUCUUAAGUUCGCAAACCUGUUUCCUGGAGAGAAUUGUUCGUAACAAAUCUGAGUGAUAUCACGAUACCAUUUAGACGAUAUUAUAAGACUAAUGACAACUUGUACAUGUAAGUUAAAUUACUUUUAUUGUAAUUCUAUUAAAGAUUUACAAAAACUAUACAUCGACAUUUAUUUCUACACAUUGGUAUUCUACAACACAUUUAAAAUACAUUUACAAAACGAGGAACAUAGAAAUAACACUUUCCAUUCAUUCAUUCAUGUGUACAUGAUCUCAUUCAUUCUACUCUUGUAUGUCCAGCAAAAGCAAAAAUAUGUUAGUUAAGCAAACAAAGGCGAAUGAGAAAUUAGUAGAUAGGGAAGUAAAAAAAGGAUAAAAGAAUAAAGACAAUGGGGAGAUGAUACUAGAAAUCUAUUAUAUAUACAAACCCGUGUAAACAAUGUACCUCUCGCCAAACCUUUUUGUAGUGACAAUAAAGAUUUUAUUUCUUUUACAUGAAACUUCUGCUUAUUUGCUAUGUUAAACAGGAAAUCAAUGCAUAUUUUUUUUUUGUGAUCCAAGUCAUUCUUCCUCUUCUUUCCAAAAAGUUGGGAAUUGAUGUUUAAGCUCAGCUAAGGUUGCAACAGGCGCAACUAUGUUUUUUUUUUAAAUUUUAACAAUGACUACUCACAAUGUUCAAUUGCCUUCCCCAAAAACUAAUAAGACAACCAAAAUGUUAUAUGUAGAAAUAUAUAGCAUGACACAUAUUACUCAUUACAACAGAGCUGAGUAUUUUGGUUGUUUCAAAGUUGCAAGUAAAGUUUUGACUAAUUAACAAUUACAUUUUUAACACAAUUAUCGGAAAUAAUUCUUUUGUCGUCGAUACAUCUCAACUCUAACAAGAAGACAGUUGUACAAAGUGACAAAAAGGUCCUUGCUAGAUAAGGACAAAGUGAUCAUUUUCAUAAUAUGUUGAUGCCAAACAUAUCAAACGUCCUUUAACUUGUAUAUUGACGAGAGAGCUAUUUAUAGUUCACAUACAAAUAAUUAUUUAUUUAAAAUUAAGAUAAAUUAUUUUCAUGCCUAUCUUAAAGACAGCAAAAAAAAAAAAAAAAA